GACGAACGCUGGCGGCGUGCUUAACACAUGCAAGUCGAACGGAAAGGCCCUGCUUUUGUGGGGUGCUCGAGUGGCGAACGGGUGAGUAACACGUGAGUAACCUGCCCUUGACUUUGGGAUAACUUCAGGAAACUGGGGCUAAUACCGGAUAGGAGCUCCUGCUGCAUGGUGGGGGUUGGAAAGUUUCGGCGGUUGGGGAUGGACUCUCGGCUUAUCAGCUUGUUGGUGGGGUAGUGGCUUACCAAGGCUUUGACGGGUAGCCGGCCUGAGAGGGUGACCGGCCACAUUGGGACUGAGGUACGGCCCAGACUCCUACGGGAGGCAGCAGUGGGGAAUAUUGCACAAUGGGCGGAAGCCUGAUGCAGCAACGCCGCGUGCGGGAUGACGGCCUUCGGGUUGUAAACCGCUUUCGCCUGUGACGAAGCGUGAGUGACGGUAAUGGGUAAAGAAGCACCGGCUAACUACGUG
RNAcentral lists this ribosomal RNA (468 nucleotides) under uncultured bacterium. Its description in RNAcentral is "partial 16S ribosomal RNA". It matches the Rfam family "Bacterial small subunit ribosomal RNA", at positions 28 to 507 of the family's 1533-position model. The record is from RNAcentral.